This 275-nucleotide ribosomal RNA is filed under the name Salmonella enterica subsp. enterica serovar Heidelberg. Its description in RNAcentral is "partial 23S ribosomal RNA". It matches the Rfam family "Bacterial large subunit ribosomal RNA", at positions 2064 to 2338 of the family's 2925-position model. RNAcentral also lists the same sequence under 1 other name. Lineage: Bacteria; Pseudomonadati; Pseudomonadota; Gammaproteobacteria; Enterobacterales; Enterobacteriaceae. The record is from RNAcentral.
GUGUACCCGCGGCAAGACGGAAAGACCCCGUGAACCUUUACUAUAGCUUGACACUGAACAUUGAGCCUUGAUGUGUAGGAUAGGUGGGAGGCUUUGAAGUGUGGACGCCAGUCUGCAUGGAGCCGACCUUGAAAUACCACCCUUUAAUGUUUGAUGUUCUAACGUGGACCCGUUACCCGGGUUGCGGACAGUGUCUGGUGGGUAGUUUGACUGGGGCGGUCUCCUCCUAAAGAGUAACGGAGGAGCACGAAGGUUGGCUAAUCCUGGUCGGACAU